CAUAAACAAAAGUUUUGCAGAAAAAUGUUUUUGAAGUUAAUUAAUCUCUGCUUUUUAUUAAAUAUGGUGAAUGGUAAAAGCACACAGAGAACUCAAAACAUUUUUGGAAAUGAAAUUUCUGAUGUAGAUAAAUAUCUAACUAUGGCGGAAAGUGAUGUGAUGAGUUUAAUAAGUGAUGAAAGUGAUUUAUCCAUUUUAACAGAAUCAGAGGAGUUUCCCGAACCUCCACCACAUACUGAAGUUUCAAGGAUGAGCAGAUACCUGUGCCAUCAUUCAGACUGGUUGUCAAUGGCGACCAUAUCUACUAGAGGACCUUUAACAGGAUAUCCUUUUGCAAGUGUUUUUAGCUUCAGUGAUGGGACUAAGCAUAAGUCCUCAGGAAUCCCGUAUUUCUACAUGACAGGGAUGGAUAUGUCCUCUAAGGAUUUGGAGAAGAACCCUAAAGCAUCUGUAACAAUGUCCCUUGCUCAGGGACCCUUCUGUAAAAAGCACGGAUUAGAUGCUGAGGAUCCCAGGUGUGCUCAUGUUGUUAUGGCUGGAGAAGUAGUUCAAGUCCAGCCAAACUCAACUGAAGAAAUAUUUGCCAAAGAGGCUUUGUUCUCACGACACCCUGAGAUGCCUGAGUGGCCUGUUGACCAUGGAUGGUAUUUUGCUAAACUCAACAUCUCUAGUAUCAUUCUUCUAGACUUCUUCGGAGAUUAGUGAUAGCAGUAUCAUCUCGACUAGAAAAUGUUCAAAAUAGGAAAAUUAUUAGAUCUACAUGGAAAAACUCAUUACCUAGCAGUGUUCUUUUCAAGUUUCUUGUAUCUGAAUCCAGCUGUAGUAUAGACCCUUUAUGGAGAAUAGAUCAAGAUGGUUGUGAAGCCUGGGAAGUAAGCGUUCCAAACUGGGUACAUGAAGGAACAGUGCUAG
This 912-nucleotide unclassified non-coding RNA is filed under the name Eurytemora carolleeae. RNAcentral describes it as "protein CREG1". Lineage: Eukaryota; Metazoa; Arthropoda; Copepoda; Calanoida; Temoridae. The record is from RNAcentral.